This 440-nucleotide ribosomal RNA is filed under the name uncultured bacterium. RNAcentral describes it as "partial 16S ribosomal RNA". It matches the Rfam family "Bacterial small subunit ribosomal RNA", at positions 338 to 795 of the family's 1533-position model. The record is from RNAcentral.
CCUACGGGGGGCUGCAGUGGGGGAUAUUGCACAAUGGGGGGAACCCUGAUGCAGCGACGCCGCGUGGGUGAAGGAGCGUUUCGGCGCGUAAAGCCCUAUCGGCAGGGAAGAAGAUGACGGUACCUGACCAAGAAGCCCCGGCUAACUACGUGCCAGCAGCCGCGGUAAUACGUAGGGGGCAAGCGUUAUCCGGAUUUACUGGGUGUAAAGGGGGCGCAGACGGCAAUGCAAGCCAGGAGUGAAAGCCCGGGGCCCAACCCCGGGACUGCUCUUGGAACUGCAUGGCUGGAGUACAGGAGGGGCAGGCGGAAGUCGUAGGGUAGCGGUGAAAUGCGUAGAUAUUAGGAGGAAGACCGGUGGCGAAGGCAGCUUACUAAGCCAUAACUGACACUGAAGCACGAAAGCGUGGGGAUCAAACAGGAUUAGAUACCCGAGUAGUC